RNAcentral lists this ribosomal RNA (392 nucleotides) under uncultured bacterium. Its description in RNAcentral is "partial 16S ribosomal RNA". It matches the Rfam family "Bacterial small subunit ribosomal RNA", at positions 523 to 918 of the family's 1533-position model. The record is from RNAcentral.
AUACGGAGGAUGCGAGCGUUAUCCGGAUUUAUUGGGUUUAAAGGGUGCGCAGGCGGCCAUUUAAGUCAGCGGUUAAAUCGUGGGGCUCAACCCCAUUCUGCCGUUGAUACUGGGUGGCUUGAUUGCGGUCGAGGUUGGCGGAAUUCGUUGUGUAGCGGUGAAAUGCAUAGAUAUGACGAAGAACACCGAUUGCGUAGGCAGCUGACCAGACCGCAAAUGACGCUCAUGCACGAAAGUGCGGGGAUCGAACAGGAUUAGAUGCCCUGGUAGUCCGCACAGUAAACGAUGAAUACUUGUUUUCGGCGAUAUAAUGUCGGAGGCAAAGCGAAAGCGAUAAGUAUUCCACCUGGGGAGUACGCCGGCAACGGUGAAACUCAAAUGAAUUGGCGGGG